AAUUUGAUCUUGGUUCAGGAUGAACGCUAGCUACAGGCUUAACACAUGCAAGUCGAGGGGCAGCAUUGGAGUAGCAAUACUCAGAUGGCGACCGGCGCACGGGUGAGUAACACGUAUCCAACCUGCCGCUUACUCGGGGAUAGCCUUUCGAAAGAAAGAUUAAUACCCGAUGGUAUAAAGAGUUCGCAUGUUCUCUUUAUUAAAGAAUUUCGGUAAGCGAUGGGGAUGCGUUCCAUUAGAUAGUUGGCGGGGUAACGGCCCACCAAGUCUACGAUGGAUAGGGGUUCUGAGAGGGAGGUCCCCCACAUUGGAACUGAGACACGGUCCAAACUCCUACGGGAGGCAGCAGUGAGGAAUAUUGGUCAAUGGACGAGAGUCUGAACCAGCCAAAAGUAGCGUGAAGGAUGACUGCCCUAUGGGUUGUAAACUUCUUUUAUAAGGGAAUAAAGUGAGGGACGUGUCCCUUUUUGUAUGUACCUUAUGAAUAAGGAUCGGCUAACUCCGUGCCAGCCGCGGC
Molecule: ribosomal RNA, 517 nt
Filed under: uncultured bacterium
Lineage: Bacteria
Description: bacterial SSU rRNA
Rfam family: Bacterial small subunit ribosomal RNA
Source: RNAcentral